Molecule: transfer RNA, 77 nt
Filed under: Gammaproteobacteria bacterium
Lineage: Bacteria; Pseudomonadati; Pseudomonadota; Gammaproteobacteria
Also listed under: 1 other name
Description: tRNA-Arg
Rfam family: tRNA
About the family: Transfer RNA (tRNA) molecules are approximately 80 nucleotides in length. Their secondary structure includes four short double-helical elements and three loops (D, anti-codon, and T loops).
Source: RNAcentral
GCGCUUGUAGCUCAACCGGAUAGAGUACCGGCCUUCGAAGCCGGGUGUUGGGGGUUCGAGUCCCUCCAGGCGCGCCA